GGGCUCAACCGGGGAUUGAACCCGGGACCUCUCGCAUGUGAGUCAGACCCAAAGCGAGAAUCAUACCGCUAGACCAUUAAGCC
RNAcentral lists this transfer RNA (83 nucleotides) under Fusarium pseudograminearum CS3220. Its description in RNAcentral is "tRNA-Gln". Lineage: Eukaryota; Fungi; Ascomycota; Sordariomycetes; Hypocreales; Nectriaceae. The record is from RNAcentral. RNAcentral also lists the same sequence under 3 other names.